Planoprotostelium fungivorum is the source of this 72-nucleotide non-coding RNA. The record is from the annotation of a GenBank genome assembly. Lineage: Eukaryota; Evosea; Variosea; Cavosteliida; Cavosteliaceae.
GGUUCUAUGGUGUAGUGGUUAGCACGUCAGGUUUUGACCCUGGAAUCCCCGGUUCGAACCCGGGUAGGACCU